GUGUCCUUACAGAACCACAUAACAUCACAUCAUCUUACUGUUUACUGGAGGAGCCACCAAGAACAGCUCAGACGGCUAACAAUGCUGUUGACUGAAGUCCUCUAUAAACUUCACAGAGUGACGGUAGAAAUAGAAAACAUCACUACAGAGAGGAUGAGAACCAUAACUUGGUUUCCAGAUGACACAGCACAAUCAAGAUAGACAAGAAAAAUGAUCAAGACUACAGAAAAAGAUGAAUCUGCCCUAAAUAAGUGUAUCUACCCAACACGACUGGAUUUGUUUUCCCCAAAGACAUUAGCCCACUUACUGACCCACAUUGGGGCCUGAUGGGGUGAAAAUAAGAAG
Long non-coding RNA from Homarus americanus (American lobster), 345 nucleotides. RefSeq lists it as uncharacterized. The transcript has 2 exons. Lineage: Eukaryota; Metazoa; Arthropoda; Malacostraca; Decapoda; Nephropidae. The record is from RefSeq and is a predicted model, not a curated record.